RNAcentral lists this ribosomal RNA (1437 nucleotides) under uncultured bacterium. RNAcentral describes it as "bacterial SSU rRNA". It matches the Rfam family "Bacterial small subunit ribosomal RNA". The record is from RNAcentral.
CUUAACACAUGCAAGUCGAGGGGCAGCAUGGUCUUAGCUUGCUAAGGCCGAUGGCGACCGGCGCACGGGUGAGUAACACGUAUCCAACCUGCCGUCUACUCUUGGACAGCCUUCUGAAAGGAAGAUUAAUACAAGAUGGCAUCAUGAGUCCGCAUGUUCACAUGAUUAAAGGUAUUCCGGUAGACGAUGGGGAUGCGUUCCAUUAGAUAGUAGGCGGGGUAACGGCCCACCUAGUCUUCGAUGGAUAGGGGUUCUGAGAGGAAGGUCCCCCACAUUGGAACUGAGACACGGUCCAAACUCCUACGGGAGGCAGCAGUGAGGAAUAUUGGUCAAUGGGCGAGAGCCUGAACCAGCCAAGUAGCGUGAAGGAUGACUGCCCUAUGGGUUGUAAACUUCUUUUAUAAAGGAAUAAAGUCGGGUAUGGAUACCCGUUUGCAUGUACUUUAUGAAUAAGGAUCGGCUAACUCCGUGCCAGCAGCCGCGGUAAUACGGAGGAUCCGAGCGUUAUCCGGAUUUAUUGGGUUUAAAGGGAGCGUAGAUGGAUGUUUAAGUCAGUUGUGAAAGUUUGCGGCUCAACCGUAAAAUUGCAGUUGAUACUGGAUAUCUUGAGUGCAGUUGAGGCAGGCGGAAUUCGUGGUGUAGCGGUGAAAUGCUUAGAUAUCACGAAGAACUCCGAUUGCGAAGGCAGCCUGCUAAGCUGCAACUGACAUUGAGGCUCGAAAGUGUGGGUAUCAAACAGGAUUAGAUACCCUGGUAGUCCACACGGUAAACGAUGAAUACUCGCUGUUUGCGAUAUACUGCAAGCGGCCAAGCGAAAGCGUUAAGUAUUCCACCUGGGGAGUACGCCGGCAACGGUGAAACUCAAAGGAAUUGACGGGGGCCCGCACAAGCGGAGGAACAUGUGGUUUAAUUCGAUGAUACGCGAGGAACCUUACCCGGGCUUAAAUUGCAGAUGAAUUACGGUGAAAGCCGUAAGCCGCAAGGCAUCUGUGAAGGUGCUGCAUGGUUGUCGUCAGCUCGUGCCGUGAGGUGUCGGCUUAAGUGCCAUAACGAGCGCAACCCUUGUUGUCAGUUACUAACAGGUUCUGCUGAGGACUCUGACAAGACUGCCAUCGUAAGAUGUGAGGAAGGUGGGGAUGACGUCAAAUCAGCACGGCCCUUACGUCCGGGGCUACACACGUGUUACAAUGGGGGGUACAGAGGGCCGCUACCACGCGAGUGGAUGCCAAUCCCCAAAACCUCUCUCAGUUCGGACUGGAGUCUGCAACCCGACUCCACGAAGCUGGAUUCGCUAGUAAUCGCGCAUCAGCCACGGCGCGGUGAAUACGUUCCCGGGCCUUGUACACACCGCCCGUCAAGCCAUGGGAGCCGGGGGUACCUGAAGUGCGUAACCGCGAGGAGCGCCCUAGGGUAAAACUGGUGACUGGGGCUAAGUCA